GAUGAACGCUGGCGGCGUGCCUAAUACAUGCAAGUCGAGCGAACAGACCCGGCGCUUGCUCCUCUGACGAUAGCGGAGGACGGGUGUGUCACACGUGUAUAACCUCCCUAUAAGACUGGGAUAACUUCGGGACACCGGAGCUAAUACCGGAUAAUAUAUUGCACCGCAUGGGUCAAUAGUGAAAUUCGGUUUUUCUGUCACUUCUCGAUGCAUCCCAGCCGUAUUGGGUGGUUGGGAAGGUAACGGCUUUCCAAGGGAACUAUGCGUAGCCGACGGGUGGGGGUGAUCGCCCACCUUGGAACUGAGACACGGUCCAUGGUCCUACGGGAGGGAGCAGUAGGGAAUCGUCCGCAAUGGGCGAAAGCCUUACGGAGCAGCGCCGCGUGAGUGAUGAAGGUCUUCGGAUCGUGAAACUCUGUUAUGAGGGAAGAACAAAUGUGGAAUUAACUGUGCACGUCUUGACGGUACCGAAUCAGAAAGCCACGGCUAACUACGUG
RNAcentral lists this ribosomal RNA (497 nucleotides) under uncultured bacterium. RNAcentral's name for it is "partial 16S ribosomal RNA". It matches the Rfam family "Bacterial small subunit ribosomal RNA", at positions 28 to 507 of the family's 1533-position model. The record is from RNAcentral.